RNAcentral lists this long non-coding RNA (204 nucleotides) under Elaeis guineensis (African oil palm). Its description in RNAcentral is "long non-coding RNA (EGUI_LNC002265)". Lineage: Eukaryota; Viridiplantae; Streptophyta; Magnoliopsida; Arecales; Arecaceae. The record is from RNAcentral.
ACUCCAACCCUAUUUUUAAGGGAGACUCUUCUCUCUUCCCCCACCAAAGAAAUCAGAAGCCAAAACGACGAGGAUCGCUGGAAAUCGCUCGUGAAAGCCGUCACCGUGCUCACCUCGAUUUCUCGCCGGAGAGGUCACCGGAGCUCGAGAUAAGCCCCGACUUCUCUUCCUCUUUUCUCCCCCAUCCUUCCUUUGCCUGUGUGC